AAUUUUGUCUGUUUUUCAUGCAUUGCCACAAGGUUAAUCCAAGGAUCAUCUGAAAAUGGAAGGAAGCCAUAUAUUGUAUACAUGGGAGAGGUACCACAUCAUGCAGACAGGAUUUCAACCAUGGAGGAACAUAAUGAUAUGCUCCUGAAGGCAAUUGGAGAUGAGAAGACAGCCAGAGAAUCCAAAAUAUAUACUAUGGGAAGAGCAUUAAUGGAUUUGCUGCCAGACUUUUGCCAGAUGAAGCGAGAAGACUAUCUGAUGAAGAUGGAGUUGUAUCGGUAUUUGAGAACAUUAAACGAAGACUUCUGACAACAAGAUCAUGGGAUUUUCUGGGAAUGCCUCUUAGUACAAAGAGAAGGAACGUGAUUGUUGAGAGUGAUAUCAUAGUUGGUGUAAUGGACACUGGGAUUUGGUCUGGAUGCCCCAGUUUUGAUGAUUCUGGCUAUGGACCUCCACCAGCUAAAUGGAAGGGUAAAUGUGACAAAGGAGCCAAUUUCACUGGUUGCAACAACAAGGUGAUUGGUGCAAGAUACUAUCAGCUAGACAGCACUGAUCCUAUUCCGGAAGAUCCUACGCCAGUUGACACUGACGCCAUGGCACCCACACUGCC
Hibiscus syriacus is the source of this 610-nucleotide long non-coding RNA. RefSeq lists it as uncharacterized. The record is from RefSeq and is a predicted model, not a curated record. Lineage: Eukaryota; Viridiplantae; Streptophyta; Magnoliopsida; Malvales; Malvaceae. The transcript is spliced from 6 exons.